Molecule: ribosomal RNA, 484 nt
Filed under: uncultured bacterium
Lineage: Bacteria
Description: bacterial SSU rRNA
Rfam family: Bacterial small subunit ribosomal RNA
Source: RNAcentral
GGAUGAACGCUAGCUACAGGCUUAACACAUGCAAGUCGAGGGGUCUUUUUAGCUUGCUUUAAAAGACGACCGGCGCACGGGUGAGUAACGCGUAUCCAACCUGCCAUUCAUAUUGGGAUAGCCUUUCGAAAGAGAGAUUAAUACCGAAUAACAUACUGAGUUUGCAUGAAAACAGUAUGAAAGCUGAGGCGAUGAAUGAUGGGGAUGCGUUCCAUUAGGUAGUAGGCGGGGUAACGGCCCACCUAGCCAACGAUGUCUAGGGGUUCUGAGAGGAAGGUCCCCCACACUGGAACUGAGACACGGUCCAGACUCCUACGGGAGGCAGCAGUGAGGAAUAUUGGUCAAUGGUCGGAAGACUGAACCAGCCAAGUAGCGUGAAGGAUGGAAGGUUCUAUGGAUUGUAAACUUCUUUUAUGCGGGAAUAAAACCUCCCACGUGUGGGAGCUUGUAUGUACCGUAUGAAUAAGCAUCGGCUAACUCCGUG